AACGCACCUUGCGCUCCUUGGUAUUCCGAGGAGCAUGCCUGUUUGAGUGUCAUUAAAUUCUCAACCUCACCCGUUUUCUGAACGGUUCUCCGAGGCUUGGAUGUGGGGGUUUGUGCAGGCUGCCUCAGCGCGGUCUGCUCCCCUGAAAUGCAUUAGCGAGUUCGUACUGAGCUUCCGUCUAUUGGUGUGAUAAUUAUCUACGCCGUGGACAGGGUUUAGACUCGCUUCUAACCGUCCGCAAGGACAAUACCUUUGACAAUUUGACCUCAAAUCAGGUAGGACUACCCGCUGAACUUAA
Molecule: unclassified non-coding RNA, 298 nt
Filed under: uncultured Coprinellus
Lineage: Eukaryota; Fungi; Basidiomycota; Agaricomycetes; Agaricales; Psathyrellaceae
Description: sequence contains ITS2
Rfam family: 5.8S ribosomal RNA (bases 1-52)
Source: RNAcentral